Molecule: transfer RNA, 65 nt
Filed under: Dipodomys ordii (Ord's kangaroo rat)
Lineage: Eukaryota; Metazoa; Chordata; Mammalia; Rodentia; Heteromyidae
Rfam family: tRNA
About the family: Transfer RNA (tRNA) molecules are approximately 80 nucleotides in length.
Source: Rfam by way of RNAcentral
GGUGGCUCAGUGGUAGAGUGCUUGCCUCACAUGCAUAAGACCCUGGGUUCAAUUCCUCAGCACCA